Long non-coding RNA from Chaetura pelagica (chimney swift), 577 nucleotides. RefSeq lists it as uncharacterized. The transcript has 3 exons. The record is from RefSeq and is a predicted model, not a curated record. Lineage: Eukaryota; Metazoa; Chordata; Aves; Apodiformes; Apodidae.
CAUGAGGAUCCUCUACCUGCUCUUCGCUGUUGUUCUCCUCCUCUUCCAGGCUGCUCCAGGCUCUGCAGAUCCUCUUUUUGUUGACACCAUGGAGUGCAAGAGCCAGGGGAACUUCUGCCGUGCUGGGCCAUGCCCACCCACCUUCACUGCCUCAGGGUCCUGCCACGGGGGGGCCAUGAAAUGCUGUUCAAAGAUUUCAGCGGAGUAAGAAGAGGCAGCUUUCCUGGGUCAGUGCCCUUGUAUCAGCAUCAGGUCCACUGCCUCGAGGGGCUGAUUUUGAUGGAUUCCUCCUCUGUCUAAAUCCUCCUGCAAAUGAGCAUGAAAAGAAGCUUCCAGAGGGCACAUCCUGUUAGCACACUGCUUCUGGAGAUCCAGGUUUUUCUUUGCUGAAGUCACUCCCUUUUUUUGCUUUUAAUACACAAGCCACUUUGGUACCUUGGCCACUAUUCCAGCCUACCUCACAGGGAUGUUUGGAUGCUCAAUCACUUCAGGUUCAUGCAGUUCUUGGAGGAUGUGAAGCGAAAUAUAUAUAUUAUUACUUUAUUCACACACACAAAUAAAUGUCUUCUUAAACCAA